This 219-nucleotide long non-coding RNA is filed under the name Elaeis guineensis (African oil palm). Its description in RNAcentral is "long non-coding RNA (EGUI_LNC077307)". Lineage: Eukaryota; Viridiplantae; Streptophyta; Magnoliopsida; Arecales; Arecaceae. The record is from RNAcentral.
GUCUGGUUGGCACUGUUGAAGUCCGAUUGGUGCUAUUGAAGGUUGAUGGCUGGAGAGAUACGGAAGACACAGAAGACAGUCGGUCAUUAUAGAAAUCCGACUACUAGAGCCCGUCCAUUGUAGAAGUUUGUCUGAAAUCCAUCCGCUGUACAAAUUCGGACGGAGUCCAAUUCUUGCAGAAGUCUGGAAGGAGGCUGCUUACUGUAGAAGCUCAGAUGG